UACGUAGGAGGCAAGCGUUGUCCGGAAUUACUGGGUGUAAAGCGCGUGUAGGCGGCAGGCCAAGUCUGUGGUGAAAUCGCUCGGCUCAACUGGGCGGGGUCCAUGGAAACUGGUCAGCUGGAGGACGGUAGAGGUGAGUGGAAUUCCCGGUGUAGUGGUGAAAUGCGCAGAUAUCAGGAGGAACACCGAUGGCGAAGGCAGGUCUCUGGGCCACUACUGACGCUGAGAAGCGAAAGCAUGGGGAGCGAACAGG
This 253-nucleotide ribosomal RNA is filed under the name uncultured bacterium. RNAcentral's name for it is "partial 16S ribosomal RNA". It matches the Rfam family "Bacterial small subunit ribosomal RNA", at positions 524 to 776 of the family's 1533-position model. The record is from RNAcentral.